Molecule: microRNA, 23 nt
Filed under: Drosophila ananassae
Lineage: Eukaryota; Metazoa; Arthropoda; Insecta; Diptera; Drosophilidae
Description: Dan-Novel-4_5p (mature (guide))
Source: RNAcentral
AAGGAGAAUUUAAGCAGUGUAUG